AAAAAAAAAUCCAGGUCAGUUUUGAGAGCAAAAAGAGCUUGAGAAUGACUGAGUUAGCAUAUUUUUCCUAUUACACACUUUUUGUUUCAGCCCCUUUUCCCUUCUUUCAGCAAAUUGACCUCUUUUUAAAGAUGAAUCACUUUAGAGCAUGUAAAUCCUCUUAGAGCAUGUAAACACUGUAGCAGAGAUGGAGAGGAAUGUUCAAGUUGUUGCCAGUUGCCUAGGUUUUAUAAAUUGUAACUCAUGCUGUUGUCCAGUGUCCAAAAUGUUCAUAGUCACUUAUACUGUGGUGGUGAAGAGGGUGGUCUCUGACAUUUUGUUGGGUGAUUGAUCCCUCCAAUUCCUACCUGUGUGACUGUGAGCAAGCUGCUUAACCCCUCCAAGUCACAGUUUCCUGAUCUGUAGUAUGGGUAUGAUAACGUUUCUAGAAUAGAGAUCUUGUGAAGAUUAAAUGAGAUAACUCUUAUAAGAUGCCUCAACAGAGUAAGUGGUCUACACCUAUUAGCUAUUUUUAUUGCUUGCUAGUUCUUUGAAAUAAAAAACAAAGUGUUUUAAAAGUUUAUUUUGAGAGAGCGAGAGAGUACAAGGAGGGGAGGCGCAGAGAGAGACCAGAGAGAAUCCCAAGCAGGCUGUGCACUGUCAGCUUAAGACCUAAGAACUGUGAGAUCAUGAGGAGAGACGAAUUCAAGAGUCUGACGCUUAACAAGCUAAGCCACCCCGGUGCCCCUAAAUUUUUUUUUUUUUAAUUUGAGUAUAGUUGACACACAAUGUUACAUUAGUUUCAGGUGCACAGCAGAGCGAUUUGACAAGUUUAUACAUUGUGUUACAUUCACUACAAGUGUAACUACCGUCUGUCCUAUUGUUUACUAGUUCUUGAUUCAGAUUGGGGCAACAGAGAGGAAAAAUAAUGAUGAAGGAGUUUGCUCAUUUUUUGUAUGUGGGGAUCCCGAAGACCGGUGAUACUAGAGAGGCACUCUGGACCUGUCAGUUGGUGUUUGUUUAUUUCUCUGGCACAGGCAGAACGUGCAAAGUUCACUUUGUGCAUACUGUGGUUUGUGCACUCUGCGGAAGGAGCCCGACCACCAAGAGAAGUGCAUAUUCCUAAUCCGUUUUGAAGCAGGGAGGGGUGGAUUCCCCCGUUAUGGGAUUUCAUAGCGACUUACUUUUCCAGAAUGCCCUGAUAUUAUUUAUAACUUUAUUUGUUCCUCAUAAAAGGUAGGCUGGUGCAAUGACUUAGAUUUAAAUAAAGGCAGAGCUGAAGACAGCCCUCUGUUCACUGACUCGCUAGAAAAUCCGUCUCCACAGCGUUACCCAGGAACUUUUUCAAGUUAUGAGCAUUCUCAUCAUAGAGGAAACUAUGAAAAACAGAGCUACCCUGAGUGCCAUUGGUGAAAGCAGAGCAAGAACCAUCCUGAAAUGUCAGGUAUUGGUGAUGAAAAAUUGUUCUGUUUUGUUUUACAAUAGAGUUAUACUUUAGACAUGGCCUUUGUAAAUGAGCUCCCAGCGCCGGUGACUGGUGAAAUAGUUUUCCUCUGAAUCGUGAUUUUUCUGAGAGCAGACACUGAUACCCAGGGAUAUGCUUGUUCUUUAGCUUCUGACGCAGUGACAUGGUAUAGUUUAGUCUUGGACCGGAUCUUCCUUUUCCAUUUGCACGGGCCCACCGCCAUUGCUCCUUGGUUGUCUAUGAUCCGUGGGUACUCGCCUCGUGGGACAGUGAAACACCGUCCUCCAGAAGGCACCGGAGUUUAAAAGGUCGUAACAAUGUGUGAUGGAGUUUGUGUCCACGUGCUCGCACACUUCCUCGCUUUCCUAAAUAAAAUAUGCGGAGCCCAAUUUGAACACGUGCCAGGAAAGCCAGAAUCCUUGGAAACCGAGGGAGCGUGUGGCACGUGUGUGGAGGGUGGUCUUGGGGUUCAUUGGUUGGCACCCGUGGCAAGCCUGUGGCACAACUGGCCCCGCUUUGCUGAGGUUUGCUUUGACCAUCUGUCUGUCUGUUCCUUUUUCUGCUGCUGCCCAGUCCUGUUGCUCAGGUUGCUAACUGCGUGACUAUCUUUAGCAGUUUCUCCUUUCUAAUUUGCUCUUUUCGAUCACCUGUGGGUUUUUGAAGACAAGCGAGCAUUUUAGAGCAUAAAAUACAGGACGCUGGGCACCAAAUGAAGGCGCAGGAGGCCCUCCUACCUGCAAAACACUCGAGUUUCAGCAUCCACGACUUGUUACAUAUCUUUUGAUCAUGAGGCUUAUUUUCCCUUUUUCUGUUUCUCCUUCUGGCUUGUGAGUGUGUUUUGAAUAACAGUUCCCUGGGUUUUUGAGAGGGGCCGUGUUCCUGUAUUGCUGUCGCUUUGUGAGCUUUUGUUCACUGUCACUUUUUUUGUGUGGCUCUGUUAGAGAAGUUGUGGUUCUGUCUUGCGUUUUAGUUAAGUGUGUGUCUGAUGUAAGCUAUGGGUGCAGUAUUGGUGGAAUGAAUGAACGUUUCUCCUAUCCUGUGCCGUCUUAGAUUGUGAAUUCUUUCAACGGGGAGACCGUUUUAUUCGUCCCUGCGUCUCCUCAGCGCCAUGUACACGUUCCAGGUUUGCUGAGCGGCUGACUGAACAAAAUUGUUAGACUACACAGUACUGGUGGCCAUACAUAACUCCCAAAGAUUCCCAAACAUGUUUUUACUGUAGAACUUCAUCACUAACGGUAGAAAGAUAUAGGAGAUAGGAGUAGGUGGAGAAGCAUCACAAAUGGGAGUGUUGAUGGUAAAAAGAAAAAUGUUAAAUGCCUAUUAAGUACUAUUGAAUAUUCUAGAAAUAUUUCUCUUCUCUUCUCUUGAAUCGGAAGGGUGGGGAUGGUUGAGGCUGGAAAUUUGGGGAGCAGAAGGAGUCUGGACUUGAGCUAAAAGGGAGCAUGAAGUGGAAAUAGAUCUGACAGGUGGAGCCAUCCUGGGACAGGGUAGACUCCAGGUCCCAGAAGAGUCACUGUUAUGUCAUUCCAGCCCAUUUUUUUUCUUACCAUCUGUAGCUGCUAGAGAAUCGGAGGGUUUCACAAAUCAUUCUGUGUGAGUACUCGCUCUUUUUGGGAGUAACAGCUCUGUCUCAUUUCCUAGGGCUAUUGUACCAAACAAAUUAGCACACAUUUAGUGACUUAAAACAAUGUAAAUGUAUUACCUUAUAGACCUGUAGAUGAGAAGUAUAAUCUGAGUCUCGCUGGGCUCUAAUCAAGGCGUUGGUUGGGCUGCAUUCCUCUGUGGAGACUCUGAGGGCAAAUCUGUUUCUUUGCCUUUUCUAGCGUUCCAGACUUGUAGUCUCCUUCCAUUUUCAGAGGCAACAAUGGCGUAUCAAUUCUUUCACACAUAGUAUCAUUUAGGCACGAGUCUUCUACCUACCUCUUCCACAUUCAAAGGACACUUGUGUUUGCACAAGGUGUCCCCACCUACACAACCGACAUGAUGCCUUUAGAUCAAGGUGGGCGGAUGAGCAACUUUAAUUCCAGAGUGCCAUUUUGCCAUGUAAUGUUACGUAUCAUAGGUUCCGGGACUUAGGACACGAACAUCUUUGGGGAGCCAAUAUCCUAUCUGCCACCAUCACCAAACAAAAUCCAAAGAGCUGAAGGUAGAAGUUUGCGGAUCCCUCUUCUAGAAGGGACAGUGUUUGAAAUGCACAUCUCCUUGGCCUUGAGAUCUCAAUGCCUGCAGGUUACCUCUGUCCAAAACAAUGCUAUUGUUGGUGUCUACCAAAGGCCACCAGAUGAAAGUGAUUGGGGAUGGAGAGAUGUAGUGAAAGGGAGGACCUGGAUGUGAGUUAUUCUUUCUUACCUUUGUCUCCUCUUCUUUAAUCUCCAGUUGGCACUUGAGGAUGUUGAUGCGAAUGGCUGCUCUUUGAUGCUAGCACCAUGGAAUUUAGAUAUAAACAUUUGAUAAAAGCUAAAUUCCCAGUGUCCUCACAACCCUUUGAUGCCUCACCAGUAAGUGAAUGAGAUCCUUUGGUUCCAGGCAGGGAUGGUAAGUAGGGCGACUACUCCACUUUGCCUGAAGAAUUCUAUUAGAUUAGAUUUUAGGGCCAUCUCUUUUGGAAGUCCAUUGGUUAUUGUGGCUCAUUUUAAAUUCAAUAACCCAUCUCCCAGGCUGCCAAAAAGGAGGUAGGGUCUCUUGGGAUUGUUAACAGUGACCACGCAGAACCCCGGUGUGUGUGUCUUCAGGGAGACCACAAACAUUAUCUGUGAGAAUGAUAACAGCUCUUCUUUGGCGAGGAAGAACAAUUAGGGCUGCGUCUGCACUGGGCUCUCCACAUGUAUUUCCGAGCAGUCCUUACAAAAGUGCUAUGAAGUAGGUGUUUAUAUGACUUCUGUCCUUGUCUUCCUGUAGUCUAUUACUAACACAGCAGCCAGAGUGAUCCUAUUCAAAUAUGGGUCAGCUCAUGUCACUCCUCUGCUCAGAACCCUCCAGCAGCUUCCUGUCUCUCACAAUCAAAGCCAAAGCCCUUGCUAUAUCUUUCAAGUCCUGUGAUUUUUUUGCCUCCCCUUUACCUCUCUGACUUCAUCCUCACUCCCUCCAUGCGUGUUGCUCCAUAAACGACACUGGCCCUGUGCUUUUUUCUUGAAAAUCCUGCCUCAGGGUUUUCAUACUUUUUGUCCCUCCUGCUUGGAAUUGUCACUUCCAAAAUGGUCAUGUGGGUAGCAGCCCACUUUCUUCAGGUUUUUGCUUGAAAGUCACCUUCUCACCGAGGACUUCCCUAGCAAUCCUGACUAAAAUUUCACCAAACGUCUCUAUCAUCCAACAUUUCCUAACUUCCCUUCCAAACUUAACUUUUUAUUUUUUUGGCAUCUCUUUUGCUUACUUGCUUUGUUGAUUGAAAUGUAAGCCCCACAAAGGCAAGGAUUUUUCUCUGUUUUCUAACCAGGCACCCUACAAUCUCAUACCCAGCAACUAGGCAACUAGAACAGUACCUGGACCACAGGAAAUACACAGUAAGUAUUUACUGAAAGCUGAAUAAUUUUAGUCUUUCUUUUAAAAAAAUUUUUUUUACAUUUAUUUAUUUUUGAGAGACAGAGCAUGUGUGGGGGAGGGGCAGAGAGAGAGGGAGACACAGAAUCCGAAGCAGGCUCCAGGCUCUGAGCCAUCAGCACAGAGCCUGACAUGGGGCUUGAACUCAGGAACCGUGAGAUCAUGACCUGAGCUGAAGUCGGACGCUAAACUGACUGAGCCACUCAGGUGCCCCUGAAUAAUUUUAGUCAUCACAUAUUUAUUCAGCAUUUACUAAAAGCCAGGCAUUCUGCCUGACACUUGUAAAGCCAGAAUGAACCAGAAAGACAAGAUCUCUAACCUUAUAGAAUUUAAAAUCAAGGGGCACCUGGGUGUCUCAGUUGGUUAAGUGUCCGACUUCGGCCCAGGUCAUGAUCUCCUCCUGGUUUGUGAGUCUGAGCCCUGUGUCUGCACUGAUAGCUGAGAGCCUGGAGCCUGCUUCAGAUUCUGUGUCUCCCUCUCUCUCUCUGCCUCUCCCCCACUCGUGCUCUGUCUCAGUCUCUCAAAAACAAAUAAACGUUAAAAAAUUAAAAAAAAAA
Molecule: long non-coding RNA, 5538 nt
Organism: Acinonyx jubatus (cheetah)
Lineage: Eukaryota; Metazoa; Chordata; Mammalia; Carnivora; Felidae
Exons: 4
Source: RefSeq, a predicted model, not a curated record